ACUGCUGACCGAGAAGCUUUGCAACUGACACACGCCCCCUCCGACACAUGAUCAGUACUGACUGCCUCUUUUCACCUGCACGAGCUCAGAUCCAGGGUUUGAAUACCCAGCAGUGCUAUUGAUAAGUCAAGAGUCUACAUGCAGUCUUAUCAGGAUCUGCGUCCUGUCCAGGGUGUGUGUCCCCUGCAUUGUUCCCAGUGAUUCUGGGGAAGCCGGACUUGCCUCAACUUUGGUCAUGAUUGGAGCAGUGGCAUUGGAACUGGACAUUGGAGCAACAGAAGAGGAUUCACUGGUCUGACAAAUCCUGGUUUCUCCGAUGGCUUGGCCACAUAUGCAUCAGUUACCCAUGGAAGAUAUGGCACCAGGAGGCACUGCAGGACGAUCCAUCAAUCUUGGGAUGUCCGAAAGCUAGGACUUGCUGUUCCACUUCAGCUUAACCAGGGGCCAUCGGAAAACACUUGGAAAAAAAAAAGAAAUACACACAAGACAGGGUGCCAGUCCAUGACAGAAUACCACAAACUUCCUAUUUAUUCAUUCAAUCACA
Long non-coding RNA from Trichomycterus rosablanca, 544 nucleotides. RefSeq lists it as uncharacterized. The transcript is spliced from 4 exons. NCBI's taxonomy places the organism in Eukaryota, Metazoa, Chordata, Actinopteri, Siluriformes, Trichomycteridae. The record is from RefSeq and is a predicted model, not a curated record.